AAGGCACCUAUGAUUUAACAACAAACAAGGGACAGAUGUAUCAGAAAGAAAAUACAUUGGCAAUGCAAGCCAUAUGGACAGGACUUCCAACCAUCGACAACAAAGCAUCAGCUUCCACAUGGUACGCCGGCCUCUCUUAAUGAAGCUGAUGAGUACAAUCAUAUAGAUGUGUCCACAGAUUUUGAUCCAUCAGAACAAACAGAUGUUGUGAUCAAUACUCAGAGCCACAGAAAGCAAGGUGAUCUCCCUGAAUUAUCAGGACCCCAAAUACCUCGACCAAAUAGAAUCGUUGAGUCGUUGCAGAGGAAUGAAAACGGUAUUUCUCGAUCAACUCGCAAAUCAAGACUAGGAAGAGGUAAAUAAUUUGUUUUUUCUAUGGAAGAAACUAAUGUUAAUGCGUUGGAUGGUCAUAUAAUUCUUGGGACCCACCUCUUUUUGUUUGAGAGUAAAUUUGAAGUUAACCCACGAA
Prosopis cineraria is the source of this 469-nucleotide long non-coding RNA. RefSeq lists it as uncharacterized. The record is from RefSeq and is a predicted model, not a curated record. The transcript has 2 exons. NCBI's taxonomy places the organism in Eukaryota, Viridiplantae, Streptophyta, Magnoliopsida, Fabales, Fabaceae.